Molecule: ribosomal RNA, 501 nt
Filed under: uncultured bacterium
Lineage: Bacteria
Description: partial 16S ribosomal RNA
Rfam family: Bacterial small subunit ribosomal RNA
Source: RNAcentral
AUUGAACGCUGGCGGCAGGCUUAACACAUGCAAGUCGAGCGGAGCGAGGGUGCUUGCACCUUAGCUUAGCGGCGGACGGGUGAGUAAUGCUUAGGAAUCUGCCUAUUAGUGGGGGACAACAUUCCGAAAGGGAUGCUAAUACCGCAUACGCCCUACGGGGGAAAGCAGGGGAUCUUCGGACCUUGCGCUAAUAGAUGAGCCUAAGUCGGAUUAGCUAGUUGGUGGGGUAAAGGCCUACCAAGGCGACGAUCUGUAGCGGGUCUGAGAGGAUGAUCCGCCACGCUGGGACGGAGACACGGCCCAGACUACUACGGGAGGCAGCAGUGGGGAAUAUUGGACAAUGGGCGGAAGCCUGAUCCAGCCAUGCCGAGUGUGUGAAGAAGGCCUUUUGGUUGUAAAGCACUUUAAGCGAGGAGGAGGCUACUAGUAUUAAUACUACUGGAUAGUGGACGUUACUCGCAGAAUAAGCACCGGCUAACUCUGUGCCAGCCGCCGCAGUAA